UCAUCGCGCUANAGCGAAUGGCUCAUUAUAUAAGUUAUCGUUUAUUUGAUAGUACCUUACUACUUGGAUAACCGUGGUAAUUCUAGAGCUAAUACAUGCUAAAAAUCCCGACUUCGGAAGGGAUGUAUUUAUUAGAUUAAAAACCAAUGCCCUUCGGGGCUCACUGGUGAUUCAUGAUAACUCCUCGAAUCGCAUGGCCUUGUGCCGGCGAUGGUUCAUUCAAAUUUCUUCCCUAUCAACUUUCGAUGUUUGGGUAUUGGCCAAACAUGGUUGCAACGGGUAACGGAGGGUUAGGGCUCGACCCCGGAGAAGGAGCCUGAGAAACGGCUACUACAUCCAAGGAAGGCAGCAGGCGCGCAAAUUACCCAAUCCCGACACGGGGAGGUAGUGACAAUAAAUACUGAUACAGGGCUCUUUUGGGUCUUGUAAUUGGAAUGAGUACAAUUUAAAUCCCUUAACGAGGAACAAUUGGAGGGCAAGUCUGGUGCCAGCAGCCGCGGUAAUUCCAGCUCCAAUAGCGUAUAUUAAAGUUGUUGUGGUUAAAAAGCUCGUAGUUGAACCUUGGGCCUGGCUGGCCGGUCCGCCUCACCGCGUGUACUGGUCCGGCCGGGCCUUUCCCUCUGUGGAACCCCAUGCCCUUCACUGGGUGUGGCGGGGAAACAGGACUUUUACUGUGAAAAAAUUAGAGUGCUCCAGGCAGGCCUAUGCUCGAAUACAUUAACA
This 723-nucleotide ribosomal RNA is filed under the name Ophiocordyceps sinensis. Its description in RNAcentral is "SSU rRNA". It matches the Rfam family "Eukaryotic small subunit ribosomal RNA", at positions 76 to 809 of the family's 1831-position model. The record is from RNAcentral. Lineage: Eukaryota; Fungi; Ascomycota; Sordariomycetes; Hypocreales; Ophiocordycipitaceae.